This 396-nucleotide ribosomal RNA is filed under the name uncultured bacterium. RNAcentral describes it as "bacterial SSU rRNA". It matches the Rfam family "Bacterial small subunit ribosomal RNA", at positions 362 to 755 of the family's 1533-position model. The record is from RNAcentral.
UAUUGGUCAAUGGACGCAAGUCUGAACCAGCCAUGCCGCGUGCAGGAUGAAGGCCUUCUGGGUUGUAAACUGCUUUUAUCAGGGAAGAAACCACAGAUUUCUAUUUGUGCCGACGGUACCUGAGGAAUAAGCACCGGCUAACUCCGUGCCAGCAGCCGCGGUAAUACGGAGGGUGCAAGCGUUAUCCGGAUUCACUGGGUUUAAAGGGUGUGUAGGCGGGCAUGUAAGUCCGAGGUGAAAUCUCCGAGCUCAACUUGGAAACUGCCUUGGAUACUAUAUGUCUUGAAUAUCGUUGAGGUAGGCGGAAUAUGUCAUGUAGCGGUGAAAUGCUUAGAUAUGACAUAGAACACCGAUUGCGAAGGCAGCUUGCUAAACGAUUAUGACGCUGAGCACACA